Molecule: ribosomal RNA, 827 nt
Filed under: Chaetomium sp. 'rosarootii'
Lineage: Eukaryota; Fungi; Ascomycota; Sordariomycetes; Sordariales; Chaetomiaceae
Description: partial large subunit ribosomal RNA
Rfam family: Eukaryotic large subunit ribosomal RNA
Source: RNAcentral
UUGCCCUAGUAACGGCGAGUGAAGCGGCAACAGCUCAAAUUUGAAAUCUGGCUUCGGCCCGAGUUGUAAUUUGCAGAGGAAGCUUUAGGCGCGGCACUUUCUGAGUCCCCUGGAACGGGGCGCCAUAGAGGGUGAGAGCCCCGUAUAGUUAGAUGCCUAGCCUGUGUAAAGCUCCUUCGACGAGUCGAGUAGUUUGGGAAUGCUGCUCAAAAUGGGAGGUAAAUUUCUUCUAAAGCUAAAUACCGGCCAGAGACCGAUAGCGCACAAGUAGAGUGAUCGAAAGAUGAAAAGCACUUUGAAAAGAGGGUUAAAUAGCACGUGAAAUUGUUGAAAGGGAAGCGCUUGUGACCAGACUUGCGCCGGGCAGAUCAUCCGGUGUUCUCACCGGUGCACUCUGCCCGGCUCAGGCCAGCAUCGGUUCUCGCGGGGGGAUAAAGGCCCUGGGAACGUAGCUCCUCCGGGAGUGUUAUAGCCCGGGGCGUAAUGCCCUCGCGGGGACCGAGGUUCGCGCAUCUGCAAGGAUGCUGGCGUAAUGGUCAUCAGCGACCCGUCUUGAAACACGGACCAAGGAGUCAAGGUUUUGCGCGAGUGUUUGGGUGUAAAACCCGCACGCGUAAUGAAAGUGAACGUAGGUGAGAGCUUCGGCGCAUCAUCGACCGAUCCUGAUGUUUUCGGAUGGAUUUGAGUAGGAGCGUUAAGCCUUGGACCCGAAAGAUGGUGAACUAUGCUUGGAUAGGGUGAAGCCAGAGGAAACUCUGGUGGAGGCUCGCAGCGGUUCUGACGUGCAAAUCGAUCGUCAAAUCUGAGCAUGGGGGCGAAAGACUAAU